ACUCCUGCCGAUGGAUAUCUUGGCUCUCGCAACGAUGAAGAACGCAGCGAAAUGCGAUACGUAGUGCGAAUUGCAGAAUUCAGUGAAUCAUCGAACCUUUGAACGCAAAUGGCGCAUCCGGGCUCCGCUCGGACGCAUGCCUCUUCGAGGGGCGCCUCCAUCCUCCUCGGAGCGAGAGAGCUCUCUCUCUCGUCUCCGGAGCCGGCGGCCGCGCGGGGGAGCCUCGGCCCCCUCGCGCGCCCGCCCAAGGCUGCCUUGCGAGCGCGGCGGCGGCGUCUAACCCGCGUCCCCGCCGGAGUGCUAAGUCCAUGACUAGACCUCCGGCGGACGCGUGCCCCGUUCUGCCUCGCGACCCCCCGGCGUGCGCGGUGCCUCUCCUCUCCUCCGGGAGAGCGAGGCCCGCCCGCCCCGGCGCGCGGCCGCUCUCUGUGCGGCCGCGCGCCUCGAAACCCGCCAUCGAAUGAGGCAAGACUACCCGCUGAACUUAAGCAUAUCACUAAGCGGAGGAGAAGAAACUAACCAGGAUGCCCCUAGUAAUGGCGAAUGAAGCGGGCUGAGCUCACGCUGCCAAUCUGGAGGCCUCGCGUAUGCAGCGCCCCCCGAAUUGUGGUCUAGAGAGGCGUUAUCGGCCGCGCCCGCCGCUCAAGUCCCUUGGAACAGGGUGUCGGAGAGGGUGAGAAUCCCGUACCGUGGCGGGUUGCGGCCUUACGAUGCGUCCUCGUCGAGUCGGGUUGCUUGGGAUUGCAGCUUGAAUUGGGUGGUAAAUUCCAUCUAAAGCUAAAUACUGGCGAGAGACCGAUAGCGAACAAGUACCGUGAGGGAAAGAUGCAAAGAACUUUGAAAAGAGAGUCAAAGAGUGCUUGAAAUCGGUAGGAGGAAACCCGGAUGGGCCCGGCUUCGGCGCGCCGACUCAGCCUGGGGUUCUCCCCAGGUGCACUUCUGCGCGCCGGGUCAGCCGCGCCUCGGCGCCGCGCCUCAACCCGGGAGCGGGGCUUUACGGCCAGCUCCCGUCCUGGCGCGGCCCGGGGCCCGGCUGACGGAACGGGCCCCUCCGACCCGUCUAGAAACACGGACCAAGGAGUCUGACACGUGUGCGAGUACCCGGGUGGCAAGCCCGCGUGCGGAAUGAAAGUGAAGGGCAUGCCCUGCCAACCGACCUUGACCUGCUGUGAGGGGUUUGAGUGGAGCACACCUGUCGGGACCCGAAAGAUGGUGAACUAUGCCUGGGUAGGGUGAAGCCAGAGGAAACUCUGGUGGAGGCUCGUAGCGAUACUGACGUGCAAAUCGUUCGUCGAAUCUGGGUAUAGGGGCGAAAGACUAAUCGAACCAUCUAGUAGCUGGUUCCCUCCGAAGUUUCCCUCAGGAUAGCUUGAACGCAACGGUUUUGUCAGGUAAAGCGAAUGAUUAGAGGCCUGUGGGCUGAAACAGCUUGCACCUAUUCUCAAACUUUAAAUGGGCAAGAGGCCCGGGAUGCUUGAGUGAUCCCGGGCGGCGAACGGCGCGUUCAAAGUGGGCCAUUUUUGGUAAGCAGAACUGGCGAUGCGGGAUGAACCGAACGCCGCGCUAAGGUACCCAAGUGUCCGCUCAUCAGAUACCACAAAAGGCGUUGGUACCUCCAGACAGCAGGACGGUGGCCAUGGAAGUCGGAACCCGCUAAGGAGUGUGUAACAACUCACCUGCCGAAGGUACUAGCCCUGAAAAUGGAUGGCGCUCAAGCGGACCACCGAUGCGCGGCCGCCGGCGCGAGCGCGAGGCGCCGGCGAGUAGGAGGGCGCGGGGCUCGCGGCGCAGCCUUGGGCGCGAGCCUGGGUGAAGCGGGCCCCGGUGCAGAUCUUGGUGGUAGUAGCAAAUAUUCAAAUGAGAACUUUGAAGACUGAAGUGGAGAAAGGUUCCGUGUGAACAGCAGUUGGACACGGGUGAGCCGACCCUAAGAGACAGGAAAACUCCGCCGAACGCGGCUGGUUCUGUCAGCCCGUCCGUCGAAAGGGAAUCGGGUUAAUAUUCCCGAGCCAGCGCGUGGAUGGUGGGCGGCGACGCGAACGAACCCGGAGACGCCGGCGGGAGCCCUGGGAAGAGUUCUCUUUUCUUCUUAACUGCCUCCUGCCCUGGAAUCGGUUUAGCCGGAGCGAGGGCUACACGGCAGGCAAAGCACCCUAAGUCUUGGGGUGUCCGGCGCGCUCCCGACGGCCCGUGAAAAUCCGGGGGAGCGGUUCGUUCUCACGCCUGGUCGUACUCAUAACCGCAUCAGGUCUCCAAGGUGAACAGCCUCUAGUCGAUAGAGCAAUGUAGGUAAGGGAAGUCGGCAAAAUGGUUCCGCAACCUCGGGAGAAGGAAUGGCUCUGAAGGCUGGGCGCAGGGGUCCUAGGCUCGAGGCCGGCUGGCUGCGCGGGGACUACGGCCUCACGGCUGCGGAUCCCGCGCGGCCGUCCGGCGGACGGCCUAGGAGCGCUCCGGCUCUCCCUGCGCGACGAACAGCCGCUUCAGAACUGGCGCGGACAAGGGGAAUCCGACUGUUUAAUUAAAACAAAGCAUUGCGAUGGCCCGCGAGGGUGCUGACGCAAUGUGAUUUCUGCCCAGUGCUCUGAAUGUCAAAGUGAAGAAAUUCAACCAAGCGCGGGUAAACGGCGGGAGUAACUAUGACUCUCUUAAGGUAGCCAAAUGCCUCGUCAUCCAAUUAGUGACGCGCAUGAAUGGAUUCGUGAGAUUCCCACUGUCCCUAUCUACUGUCUAGCGAAACCACAGCCAAGGGAACGGGCUUGGAAGAAUCAGCGGGGAAAGAAGACCCUGUUGAGCUUGACUCUAGUCUGUUACUGUGGAACGACUUGAUGGGUGUAGAAUAUGCGGGAGGGGCAACCCGACAGUGAAAUACCGCAACCGUCAACGUUGUUUUACUUACUCGGUGGCGCGGAGGGAGGCUCGCCUCACUUCUGGAUCCAAGCCGCUUCGUGCGCGCGAUCCGCGUCGGGGACACUAACAGGUGGGGAGUUUGGCUGGGGCGGCACGUCUGUUAAAAAAUAACGCAGGCGCCCGAUUUUGAGCUCAAUGAGAACAGAAAUCUCAUGUGGACCGAAAGGGGAAAAGCUCGGUUGAUUUUGAUUUUCAGUACGAAUACAAACCGCGAAAGCGUGGCCUAUCGAUCCUCUCGUCUUUGGGAAUUUCAAGCUAGAGGUGUCAGAAAAGUUACCACAGGGAUAACUGGCUUGUGGCUGCCAAGCGUUCAUAGCGACGUAGCUUUUUGAUCCUUCGAUGUCGGCUCUUCCUAUCACUGCCUCGCAGCGGGGGCCAAAUGCAGGAUUGUUCACCCACCAACAGGGAACGUGAGCUGGGUUUAGACCGUCGUGAGACAGGUUAGUUUUACCCUACUGCUGUCUGUUUUUCUACGGUAAUUUGGUUCAGUACGAGAGGAACCACCAAUUCGCAUCAUCGGUAUAGCCGCCGCCGGAAACGGCGAUGCGGCGAAGCUGCCAUGCGCCGGAUUAUAACUGAACGCCUCUAAGUUAGAAUCCAUGCCGGAAGGAAAGCCACCUACCGGCCCGGGGACGCCACGAGCAACGGUAGCACUGCCUGAGCCGCGAGCGACCACAAUUCACGGACCCGGGCCGACGAAUCCCUUGCAGACGACUUGAAUAAGGAACGGGGUAUUGUACGCGGCAGAGUGGCCUUGUUGCCACGAUCCGCUGAGAUUCAGCCUUGGUUCUGACGAUUUGUUGCGCGCGCGCAACAACCCUCAGGGCCUCUCCCGUUCCUCAGUCGCUCUCUCGGCGCUCUCCCCCCCUCGCCUCUCCUCCGAGCCUCACUCGCUCGGGGGCGGAGCCGAGGGGGCGAGAGCGCGAUUUCUGCCCAAGGCAGCGCGCAGGCCACUGCGCAAACACACCCGGCUCUCCCCGAGCCGCCACUGGGCGCUCCCGCGGUCCCCUCCGGGCUGAAUGCGGCCUCCGGAGCGGGCGGCGCGAGCGUCUGAGUCUACUCAGAGCCUUCCACGCUCUUCUUUGCGUUCCAAAGCACCCACUUCACCGUUACCUCCACCGCCCUCGCCACCGCCCACGCCGCCGCUACCAUUCCGGCCACCCUCCCCACCCUCAUCCCCAAAUUGCCCCCGCCGCCCGUUGCAGCUGCCGUCGCCGUCGAGCCCGCCCUCCGGACGCUAGCCCCCGCCCUUUACCGCCGCCCUCGCCGCCACCCUCGCCUCCGUGUGACACUCCGCCUCCCGCCCCGCCGCCGCCGCCCUCCAGCAUGCCGCCGCUCUCACCCUCUCCCCUCCAGCCGCCCCACCGCCCUAGCUGGCCGCCCCCCCCUCGCCACCACCGUCACCUCCACCGCCCUCGCCGCCGGCCUGCCCCAAGGCAGUGCGCAGGCCACUACGCAGACACACCCGGCUCUCUCCGAGCCGCCACGAGCCGCUCCCGCGGUCCCCUCCGGGCUGAAUGCGGCCUCCGGAGCGGGCGGCGCAAGCGUCCUACCCCCCUCAGAGCCUUCCAUGCUCUUCUUUGCGUUCCGAAGCACCCUCUGUAGCAUCACCCAGUCACCUCCCUUGCCACUCUCCUUGCGCACUUGGCCGAGGCGUCGCCAGGCACGCACGCCGCUCCCUCCAACCCCGUGUCGGCCUGCCGCCGCCCUCGCCUCCAGCCGCCCCGCCACCCUCACCGCCGCCGCCCUCCUCACCACCGUCUCCACCGCCGCUGCUCUCACCACCCUCGCCACCACCACCAUGCCCGCCUCCCUCGCUGCCACCCACGCCGCCGCCACCGCCCCCACCCCUCCGCUGCCCUCGCCCUUGCCGUCACCGCGCCGCGAGAUCUCUUACACUACCCUCCACCCCCGGCCCUUGCCGCCGCCCUUGCUGCGCCGCCCUCGCCGCCGCCUCCCGCCCCGCCGCGCCGCACUCACCCCCGCCCCCCCUCGGCCUGCUGCCAAUCUCACCACCCCUCGCCCUCGCCGCCGCCGCCCUCGCCCUCGCCGCCGCCGCCCUUGUCGCCACCGUCUCCGCCCCCUCCCUCGCCGCCGGGCCCGCCCUCACAGCCACGCGGCACGCACCCUUGCCUGGUACCGAGCAGUGUGCGGCCGCUCUUGAGCACUUGAGCACUGGAUAGGGUCGAUUCCGCAUGGUACGGGACCCCUCGAUCGUCUCACCCUCCCUCACUGGUGUGUUCACAGGGGUGGGGUGGGGGGUCAUAACAAACACGGUACAGGAUCGAUCGAGGUGCACGCUGCCAAAGCAGUGUCGCCCCCCCUCUCCAUCAUCUCCGAGGAGAUGUCGUCGGUGGUGGCGGUUGUGACCGAUCGAGCUACAAGAGGAGGUAGUUCAGCAGGAUCCGGGUAAUCCGACGCACUACCCUCCAACUGGGCCUGAGAUCAUUAGAUAGCACCGUCACCGUCUCGGGUUUGUUUGUGUGGAGUCUCAAAACACUCACGUCCGGGAUGGGCAAGCCCAUCAAGGUAUUUUCCUCAAAGUAGAGCUCGAGCGAGAUGUCAGCCAAGUGUUCAGCCGCCCGCCCGCUGCUCAACCGCUCCACGCCACGCCGCUUGCGGCGGUCCUCUUCCAAGCUCCGCUGAGGGCCCUCGCGUGUAAAAGAAAAUAACCGGCGCCUUUUGGUGGCCCGCCAGCCACACUAGUUCCGACGUCGUGCCGCCGACGUCGUGCCGCCGACGUGCUGUUCGCACAUGGCGACCGUCGCUGCCGUAUCGACGCAGCGCUCCUUUGCGCGGCGUGGCCGGUGGCGGCGGCGACGACCCGCUCCCGCGGCGCGAGCGCCUGCCGACUGUGGCGGCGCCAGCGCCUUGCCGCCGCUAUCCGAGCUGCUGUGGUCGGUGCGAGGCGCCUCGCCGCCUCUGACCGGCGAUGCUGAGCUCGCGGGCGCCUUCGACGGGCUGCGGCUCGACGAGGUGCUGCGGCUGCGCGAGGGACUCCCGCGGCUGGCGGCGGCGCUCGACGGCGGCGAAGAGGAGAUGCGGGUGUGCUACCUGGGCGGGUCUGUGACGGAGCAGAAGGCGGGGUACCGGCCGCUCGUCACCGCGUGGCUCCGAGCCGCCGCGGCCGGCUCGUGCCGCGUCGAGGAGGUCCCCGCCUUUUGCGGCAACUGCGGCUCAAAGGUGCUCGCCUUCAUGGUUGCAGACUGGGUCUGCCGCGCGGGCCGCAGAGGGAGGGCGUGGAGAGGCCGCUCGUCACGCGAUGCGGUGUGGACAGGUCGUCUCGCGGCGCCCGCAGCUGGUCUUCAUCGAGCUCGCGAUCAACGACGGCGACACACGCUGCUCGAGACGCUCGAGACACGCCGCUCCAGGAGCCUGCGGGGACCCUUCUCGGAACCUUCCCGCAGGCGACACGCUGCUCGAGACGGGGGACGCCGACGGCAUCGGCUCCGCCCUCGAAGGCAUCGUCCGGCACGUCCGCGACGCUCUGCCCCGCAGCGAGAUCUGCCUGCUGUACAUGUACGUGCGCGACGACCUGCCCCUACACCUACGCACCGGGUCAAAGGCCUGGGCGGACAACACGGACGCGGCGGCGGCCGCCACGUACACGGCCGCCAUCCCGCGGCUGCACGACGGCGUGGCGGACCGCUACGGCCUCCCGAGCAUCAGGCAGACCUCCCGCCGAGAUGUCGCGAGAUGUCGCCCAGAUGUCGCCGAGCUCUGGCCGAGCUCUGGUGUUGGCAACCGCCGCAGUCGCAUCUUCAGCCCCCCCACCCCCCCCACCCCCAACCACCCCCACCCCCAACCACCCCCACCACGUCCCCUCCCUCAGGCUCGCGCCUCUGAUGGCGAGGCUGCCUCCCCACCUCCGGCAGCGAGCCUUCCGAGACGACUGCCACUUCCUCCCUCCCGGCGCCGCCCUCGCCGCCGCCGCCAUCUCCGCCUCGCUCCAAGCGACACGCGCCGCCGCGGCCGCGGCCGCCGCCGCCGGCCGCGCCGCCGCCACCGGCCGCGCCGUGCCACUGCCGCCUCCGCUGCACGCGCGGCCGUGGGGGCGCGGCCGGGCGGAGGAGGUGAAGCCCGACCAGCUCUCCUUCUUCUACGCCAAGGCGCUCGCCCUGCCCUCUCCCCACCGGACCUCUCCCCACACCCGACCGCCUCGCAGCGCCCCGUCUGCGCAAAGGAGCCGCCACAAGGGGAAGACCCUCUCACCCCUCACCCUUCACCGCCUCACCCCUCCCCGCCGCCCCUCCCCGCCGCCCCUCCCCCCUCCCGCUCCCAGGAGCCGCCUCGC
Molecule: ribosomal RNA, 7201 nt
Filed under: Emiliania huxleyi CCMP1516
Lineage: Eukaryota; Haptophyta; Isochrysidales; Noelaerhabdaceae
Description: 28S_rRNA
Rfam family: Eukaryotic large subunit ribosomal RNA (bases 452-3708)
Source: RNAcentral